GACGAACGCUGGCGGCGUGCUUAACACAUGCAAGUCGAACGGAAAGGCCCUGCUUUUGUGGGGUGCUCGAGUGGCGAACGGGUGAGUAACACGUGAGUAACCUGCCCUUUACUUUGGGAUAACUUCAGGAAACUGGGGCUAAUACCGGAUAUGAGCUCCUGCUGCAUGGUGGGGGUUGGAAAGUUUCGGCGGUUGGGGAUGGACUCGCGGCUUAUCAGCUUGUUGGUGGGGUAGUGGCUUACCAAGGCUUUGACGGGUAGCCGGCCUGAGAGGGUGACCGGACAAAGUGGGACUGAGAUACGGACCAGAGUCCUACGGGAGGCAGCAGUGGGGAAUAUUGCACAAUGGGCGGAAGCCUGAUGAAGAAACGCCGCGUGCGGGAUGACGGCCUUCGGGUUGUAAACAGAUUUCGCCUGUGACGAAGCGUGAGUGACGGUAAUGGGUAAAGAAGCACCGGCUAACUACGUG
RNAcentral lists this ribosomal RNA (468 nucleotides) under uncultured bacterium. RNAcentral describes it as "partial 16S ribosomal RNA". It matches the Rfam family "Bacterial small subunit ribosomal RNA", at positions 28 to 507 of the family's 1533-position model. The record is from RNAcentral.